Marmota marmota marmota (Alpine marmot) is the source of this 183-nucleotide small nuclear RNA. Its record names the gene U2. It matches the Rfam family "U2 spliceosomal RNA". From Rfam's summary of the family: U2 is a small nuclear RNA (snRNA) component of the spliceosome (involved in pre-mRNA splicing). Complementary binding between U2 snRNA (in an area lying towards the 5' end but 3' to hairpin I) and the branchpoint sequence (BPS) of the intron results the bulging out of an unpaired adenosine, on the BPS, which initiates a nucleophilic attack at the intronic 5' splice site, thus starting the first of two transesterification reactions that mediate splicing. The record is from Ensembl. Lineage: Eukaryota; Metazoa; Chordata; Mammalia; Rodentia; Sciuridae.
AUCCUUCUUGACCUUUUGGCGAAUCUGUUCUUAUCGAUUUACAACUUGCUAUCUGAUAUUUCCUCUAUAUGAGGACAAUAUAGUUAAUGGAUUUUUGAAGAAGGGAAAGGGAACAGGAGUUUUCUCCAUCCACUCCACGCAUCCACCUGGUACUGCAGUACUUUUAGGAACAGGGCAACAAAA